CGCGUAGGCGGAUAAUUAAGUCUGAUGUGAAAUACCAGGGCUCAACCUUGGGGCUGCAUCGGAAACUGGUUAUCUUGAGGACAGGAGAGGAAAGUGGAAUUCCACGUGUAGCGGUGAAAUGCGUAGAUAUGUGGAGGAACACCAGUGGCGAAGGCGACUUUCUGGACUGUAACUGACGCUGAGGCGCGAAAGCGUGGGGAGCAAACAGGAUUAGAUACCCUGGUAGUCCACGCCGUAAACGAUGAGUGCUAGGUGUAGAGGGUAUCGACCCCUUCUGUGCCGCAGUUAACACAAUAAGCACUCCGCCUGGGGAGUACGGCCGCAAGGUUGAA
RNAcentral lists this ribosomal RNA (332 nucleotides) under uncultured bacterium. RNAcentral's name for it is "bacterial SSU rRNA". It matches the Rfam family "Bacterial small subunit ribosomal RNA", at positions 568 to 898 of the family's 1533-position model. The record is from RNAcentral.